Non-coding RNA from Camelina sativa (false flax), 1760 nucleotides. NCBI's taxonomy places the organism in Eukaryota, Viridiplantae, Streptophyta, Magnoliopsida, Brassicales, Brassicaceae. The record is from RefSeq and is a predicted model, not a curated record.
GAUAUCUUUGUCGACCACUGUUAGAGAGAGAUGGGAAGCGGUGAAGGUGUAGUAGCUCUGUUUACUCUCUCCCUUCUCUUUGUCUCGUAUGAGGUAGUGGAUUCAGCAAUCGGUGUGAACUGGGGAACGUUGUCGUUUCACAAGAUGAGACCUUCAACUGUGGUGGAUCUACUCAAAGCGAACAAGAUUACUAAAGUUAAGCUCUUUGAUACCAAUCCAGAUGCGCUUCGAGCUUUGAUGGGUACUGGAAUCCAAGUUAUGGUCGGCAUUCCUAAUGAGAUGCUCUCAUCUUUCAAUUCUGAUUUGUUCGUCCAGCAAAAUCUCUCUCGCUUCAUCGGCAAAAACGGUGCUGAUAUUAGGUAUGUUGCAGUAGGGAAUGAGCCGUUUCUGACUGGUUAUGGUGGUCAGUUUCAGAACUUAGUUGUUCCAGCUAUGGUUAAUUUGCAACAGUCUUUGGUUAAGGCAAAUCUUGCUAACUAUGUGAAGCUGGUGGUUCCUUGUAAUGCGGAUGCGUAUGAGGCUAAUGUUCCUUCCCAGGGGACGUUCCGGCCUGAGCUCACACAGAUCAUGACUCAGUUGGUUUCGUUUCUCAACUCUAAUGGCUCUCCUUUUGUGGUUAAUAUCUAUCCUUUCCUUAGUCUUUAUGGAAACUCGGAUUUCCCACAAGACUAUGCCUUUUUUGAGGGGAGUAGUCAUCCGGUUCCUGAUGGGCCUAACACUUACUAUAAUGCAUUUGAUGGGAACUUUGACACUCUUGUUUCUGCUCUCACCAAGCUUGGAUAUGGUCAGAUGCCUAUAGUUAUUGGUGAGAUUGGUUGGCCUACGGAUGGAGCAGUUGGUGCUAAUCUCACGGCAGCCAGGGUUUUUAAUCAAGGGCUUAUUAGCCAUGUGUUGAGCAACAAAGGAACACCGCUCAGGCCAGGCUCUCCUCCUGCGGAUGUCUAUCUUUUCGGAUUGCUUGACGAAGGAGCGAAGAGUACAUUGCCUGGUAACUUUGAGAGGCACUGGGGAAUCUUCUCUUUCGAUGGACAGGCCAAGUAUCGUCUCAACUUAGGACUAGGCAACAGAGGACUCAAGAAUGCAAAAGAUGUGGCUUACCUUCCUUCUAGGUGGUGUGUGGCUCACCCAGCAAGAGACAUGACCCUAGUUGGAGACCACCUCAGGCUUGCUUGCAGUGAAGCAGAUUGCACAACGCUCAACGACGGGGGCUCGUGCAGCCAGCUUGGUGAAAAGGAUAAUAUCUCAUACGCUUUCAACAGCUACUAUCAGAUGCAGAUGCAAAAUGAAAAGAGCUGCGACUUUGAUGGACUUGGCAUGGUCACCUUCUUAGAUCCUUCAGUUGGGGAUUGUCGGUUUCUUGUGGGCGUUACUGAUAAAGGCUUAUCGUCAAGUGCUGAGGCAAUGGCAAGGUGGUCUAUCUGUCACAUUUGCAUUGGAGUAUUGAUCUGGACUCUUACAAUGUGAAGUUGGGAAAUUUUCAGAGUUACAUUUUUUGAGCGAUAUAGUAGAAUAUAGGAUGGAGAAAUUACAUAAAUAUAGAGGGUCAGAUGUAUUUUAUUGUAUUUGAAAUCACGUAUUUUGAGCGUAUAAGCUGAAAAGCAGAACCAUUGUAUCUCUGUAAUAUCUUAUUGGGGACUAUAUUAGAAAAUCAGAACCAUACAAUUAUACUACCUUUGUUGUCAAUGUAGUAUCUAAGUUGAGACUCAAAUACAAGGUUGUCAAACAGAUUGUGAUCAUCACUAUAGUUUCACUUUCACUAA